GGAGUAACUAUUGGAAACGAUAGCUAAUACCGCAUAAAAGUCGAUAUCGCAUGAUAUUGAUUUGAAAGGUGCAAUUGCAUCACUAAGAGAUGGACCUGCGUUGUAUUAGCUAGUUGGUGAGGUAACGGCUCACCAAGGCGACGAUACAUAGCCGACCUGAGAGGGUGAUCGGCCACACUGGGACUGAGACACGGCCCAG
This 199-nucleotide ribosomal RNA is filed under the name uncultured Streptococcaceae bacterium. RNAcentral describes it as "partial 16S ribosomal RNA". It matches the Rfam family "Bacterial small subunit ribosomal RNA", at positions 140 to 334 of the family's 1533-position model. The record is from RNAcentral. Lineage: Bacteria; Bacillati; Bacillota; Bacilli; Lactobacillales; Streptococcaceae.